This 24-nucleotide non-coding RNA is filed under the name Cricetulus griseus (Chinese hamster). The record is from RNAcentral. Lineage: Eukaryota; Metazoa; Chordata; Mammalia; Rodentia; Cricetidae.
CAACUCUAGGUGAAAGAUGCCAGG